This 449-nucleotide ribosomal RNA is filed under the name uncultured bacterium. RNAcentral describes it as "partial 16S ribosomal RNA". It matches the Rfam family "Bacterial small subunit ribosomal RNA", at positions 29 to 523 of the family's 1533-position model. The record is from RNAcentral.
AACGAACGCUGGCGGCAUGCCUAACACAUGCAAGUCGAACGAGACCUUCGGGUCUAGUGGCGCACGGGUGCGUAACGCGUGGGAAUCUACCCUUGGGUUCGGAAUAACAGUUAGAAAUGACUGCUAAUACCGGAUGAUGACGUAAGUCCAAAGAUUUAUCGCCCAAGGAUGAGCCCGCGUAAGAUUAGCUUGUUGGUGGGGUAAUGGCCUACCAAGGCGACGAUCUUUAGCUGGUCUGAGAGGAUGAUCAGCCACACGGGGACUGAGACACGGCCCAGACUCCUACGGGAGGCAGCAGGGGGGAAUAUGGGACAAGGGGCGAAAGCCGGAUCCAGCAAUGCCGCGGGAGGGAUGAAGGCCUUAGGGUUGUAAAGCUCUUUUACCAGGGAUGAUAAUGACGGUACCGGGAGAAUAAGCGCCGGCUAACUCCGUGCCAGCCGCCGCGGUAA